Molecule: long non-coding RNA, 764 nt
Organism: Drosophila yakuba
Lineage: Eukaryota; Metazoa; Arthropoda; Insecta; Diptera; Drosophilidae
Exons: 2
Source: RefSeq, a predicted model, not a curated record
AUGCUUCAAAAACAUUUGGUACAAGUUGGAAACUUAGCUGAUAUUUUUCCGUCAUGGUCACUUUUCUACAAGUUUCGCUUUAUAUCGAACUGCAAAUUGAGUACGGUAAGCCCACAAAAAUGUCAAUAUAUAUACGGCCAAUUUCUGGACAUAACAAGAUGGAGUUUUAUGGCCACGCCAUUUAGUAAAAGUAUGGGAAUUUAUAUGUACAUAUAAAGGAAGGAAGGAAGUAAGGUAGAAGGCGAUUCCUACGCAUAUUAAUAUGUCAGAAUUUUUGCAUGCGCUGCACAAACAAAACAUAUAAAUUCAUGAGAGCCGAAAGCGAUUAAGUUAAUCCGCUAAAUUGCCCAAAUUCGAUGAGCGAGCGGAGAAAAGAAAGGGAAAAAAUUGGAAAAUCAAGCCGAGUGCAAAUUCUUUGGCCUGCGGUUGGAAAUGACUUUUAGGCAAAUUGCAGAAGCAAAACCCAAAUCAGAGCCCGAAUGAGGAUCCCACCCAGAGUCCGGAACAGUUGGCGUCUGUGGCUGCCAGGCAACCGGAGCAACCGGGGCAAUUCAAACCAAUACGGCUAAGUGCCCGGGAGGCAAUCAUAUCCCCGCAGUCGCAGGCGGAUUUGUAUUUAUGCCCGGCACUGUUGGUAAACAACGAUUUUCCAUUCGGACAUCAACAAAGCCGCUGCGGGGGGUGUUGCAAAUCGAAAUUUGGCCAGCAAAAAUUUAAAUUAAUAUAAAUAAAUGCAUUGUCCAUACGGCAUCAAAGCAAUAUUA